Molecule: non-coding RNA, 623 nt
Filed under: Pan troglodytes (chimpanzee)
Lineage: Eukaryota; Metazoa; Chordata; Mammalia; Primates; Hominidae
Source: RNAcentral
AAUGGGGACAGGCCUGUCACAAGGAUCACUAGAGUCUUGCUGGCAAAAGCAUCUUACUGCAUUCAUGCUGCAGCACAGGACCCAGAUGCAGAACAGGUUGGGGACACAGCCCUGCCUUCUAAUAGUGGACACCAUCUGAGAGCUGAGGCAUAGAUUCAAAGCCUAACUCCUAAUAGCGAUUGGUAGUAAUAUCAUCAGCAGUUCAUAUACAUGGAGUGACAACGGUGUGCCAGGCAAUUCAAAGGGUCUCUUGGUCCUCACAGCAUUUUUGAAGUAGCUAACAUCACUAUCGCCCUUUUACAGUUAAAAACAACAACAACAACAACAACAAAAACACAAAACCCUGAGGCUCAGAAGAUAAAUAUUUGCUGAAGAUCACUGUGCUUAUUAGAUGGGUGUUACUGAUUCUUACCUCAGAGAAGAGAAUGUCAUGGAGACAAAAUGAUCUGCUUAGAGUUCUGCACCCCCCAGCAUGGAGAGCAGAGCGCAAAGAUUUCUUCCGGACUCUCACAUUCCCCUUGGAAUCCAAGAACUGGUCUACUGUCACAACACUUUAGUACCCUCUUCUCCCAAGGAGGCAGCAGAAACUGGGGUAAUCACAACGGUCAACAGCAGCAAAGGCA